RNAcentral lists this long non-coding RNA (928 nucleotides) under Carica papaya (papaya). Its description in RNAcentral is "long non-coding RNA (CPAP_LNC014161)". Lineage: Eukaryota; Viridiplantae; Streptophyta; Magnoliopsida; Brassicales; Caricaceae. The record is from RNAcentral.
AAAGGGGUAAAAGUUUCCCAGGACAAAGCUAGCUUCAGACUUGGACUUGAAUAGAAAACCCAAGUAUGUUUGCAAAAAUCAUCCAUAAUAAAAAAAAAAAAUAUCUAUAGCCAUCCUUGGAAAUUUUACUGCCAAGCCUCCAAAUAUCACUGUGUAUGAGAUCAAAACAACUUUUAUAUUUAUGCUGACUCACUGGAAAUGGCAGUUUAUUAAAAACAGGGGCAGGAAAUGUAUAUAGCAAAAGUGGAAGUGAGACAAAGACAACACAAGAACAUGGGCAGAGUAUGAGGAACCGAGAGAGUUUAAUGGCAACCUGUGUUUGUAGUAAGGGAGAAGCAAAAGCAGACAUGGAUGCUUGUUUGUCAGUGAUGCUGAAAACGAGAAGGAGCCGGUUGAGAGGAGAGCCGCAUCAACCAGGCAAGAUGUGUUAGACCAAAUAGACUUUUAAAGCCAUUAGUUUGGAAAUAGAUGACCAGGAUAUGUUAUGCUUAAUUGUUUAGAAAGUAUAUUAGGUCAUAGUUUCUCGGUCCUAGCUUGAAGAGGAGACGAAUGAGUUUAAUGAGGUCAAGGUAAGAGUGGAUGAGAGGAGUGUUUUACUAAAGGAUAGGGCAUAGAAUGGUAAAGAGCCAAGAAAAGAGAGAAGACAUAAGAUAACCUAAAGGAGCUCAUUUGAAUUGAAUCUAGAUGAUUCUCAGGAGUCAUUUGCUUGGGUGUAAAGAAAGACUAUCGUAUCAAUGGGACCAGGGUACAAUGGAAGAUAGGGAAGAAGAUACUUAACUGGGUGACAAGGAAUUCUAGGCCUUUGUUGAUCAAUGAAAUGACCGGCAUGAAGAAGAAAUUGAUCAACAAUUAUCUACAUUCUUCUUAUUGUGGGAAAUCAAUGGUGUCUUUCAUUUGAAGUUUGUGUUUAUUGUUCAUUGACAUGAUA